GAUAGUGACAAGAAAUAACAAUACAGGGCUUCGGUCUUGUAAUUGGAAUGGAUGCGAUUUAAAAACUCGCGUGAGUAUCGAUUGGAGGGCAAGUCUGGUGCCAGCAGCCGCGGUAAUUCCAGCUCCAAUAGCGUAUAUUAAAAUUGUUGCAGUUAAAAAGCUCGUAGUUGAACAUGUGCUUCUACCCGAAGGUCUGUUGAUUCAUUAACAGUGCCUUUGUGGUCAGGCAUUUUUUCCGGGGAUACUGUUGCAGUUAAUUCUGUGGCAGAAUUGCCGGACAUUUACUUUGAGAAAAUUAGAGUGUUUCAAGCAAGUUUGCGCUUUGCAUACUACAGCAUGGAAUAAUUUACACGAUCCAGAGUCAUGUAUGAUGAUCCACUU
Molecule: ribosomal RNA, 381 nt
Filed under: Babesia caballi
Lineage: Eukaryota; Apicomplexa; Aconoidasida; Piroplasmida; Babesiidae
Description: bacterial SSU rRNA
Rfam family: Eukaryotic small subunit ribosomal RNA
Source: RNAcentral